Molecule: ribosomal RNA, 269 nt
Filed under: uncultured bacterium
Lineage: Bacteria
Description: partial 16S ribosomal RNA
Rfam family: Bacterial small subunit ribosomal RNA
Source: RNAcentral
GUCCAAGCCGUAAAUUAUGCUUGCUAGGUGUUUCUCGAGUAAUCGGGGAGUGCUGUACCUAACGGGUUAAGCAAGCCGCCUGGGUAGUAUACACGCAAGUGCGAAACUCAAAGGGAUAGGCGGGGGAACACACAAGCAGUGGAUUGUCUAGAUUAAUUGGAUAAUAAGCCAAGAACCUUACCUAGAUUUGACAUGCUAGAAUUAGUUUUGCAGAAAUGUGAAUGACUGCCGCAAGGCCGGAAUUAGCACAGGUGGUGCAUGGUCGUCGU